Molecule: ribosomal RNA, 253 nt
Filed under: uncultured bacterium
Lineage: Bacteria
Description: partial 16S ribosomal RNA
Rfam family: Bacterial small subunit ribosomal RNA
Source: RNAcentral
UACAGAGGGGGCAAGCGUUGUUCGGAAUUACUGGGCGUAAAGGGCGCGUAGGUGGCCUUCUAAGUUGAACGUGAAAUCCCUGGGCUCAACCCAGGAACUGCGUCCAAGACUGGGAGGCUUGAAUCCGGGAGAGGGAUGCGGAAUUCCAGGUGUAGCGGUGAAAUGCGCAGAUAUCAGGAGGAACACCGGUGGCGAAGGCGGGUCUCUGGGCCGAUACUGACGCUGAGGAGCGAAAGCGUGGGGAGCAAACAGG